This 207-nucleotide unclassified non-coding RNA is filed under the name Hevea brasiliensis (rubber tree). Lineage: Eukaryota; Viridiplantae; Streptophyta; Magnoliopsida; Malpighiales; Euphorbiaceae. The record is from RNAcentral.
AAAGAAGAGUUCAGGUCCAUACUGACUAAUACAUCAGAUGAUGCUAGAAGGCCCUUCUGUAAUUGUCUAAUUGAUAUAUGCAGAAAGAGAAAUCGCGCAGAGAGGGCUCACGAGCUUCUAUACUUGGGAACUGUAUAUGGACUAUACCCAGGUUUACAUACUAAGACACCAGAAGAAUGGCGAUUAAACGUCCGAGCACUAUCUGUU